GGAUGGGAGAGCUGGGCGCCUCCCUCCGCCCCGCUGGCCCAGGCGCCCGGUGCGGUCCCUGCGAGCCCCUCCCCGGGAGUUCUCAUUGCCACCCCCUGCCCCAACUCCCGGCCGCUCCGAUGCCUGUGCCAACCGGGGUCCUGCGUCCCCCUCACCUGGGUGCUGGGGCACAGGGUGACCUUUUGCGCCGGGCCAACCCCAGUACCUGCUUCUCAGCGCACCCCGGUCCCCGAGCGGGCCAGGCGGUUCCGUGGGGGCGGGCGCCAUCCGCACAGCUGGGCUGGAUGUCCGCACACCUGGGUCUGGCCGCGCUGAGGGUGGGCGCUCCUGUCGGGCUCGGGUUCAAGUCCUGGCCGUGACACCUGGACCCCUCCACAGUCCUGCGGCCCCUCACUUUCCCCCCUGUAAUAAGAUCCCUGCAGGGCUGGUUAGAGGAGCAGCUGUAACGCACCUGGAAGGUAACUGGCCGUUCACAGGAGUAGUCCACGGACACCUGUCGCCUUCGUGCUGAAGGACUUUGGGGACAAGCGGGCCUCAUCCAAAACGUGGGGAGACUGACCAUUGUCAUCCCAGGGAAGAGGGGAGGACGCAGGCGUGAAAGGACGAUGUUUAGAACACAUUUAAAGUCACACAACAAUAGAAAGCAAACUACUGGCUCUCCGGAAGAAGUGACUGUGUCUGAAAUUCCACGUGGGUGCCCGGGGGAGCGUGCACUUGUCAGAGGACAAAAGCCCUCGAUGCUCCUGUGUUCACUCAGCAGCCAUGGUUCACACGCCCCACUGGAGGGACCCCUAAAAUCCCACCCCACUUCAGCCCUGGACGGUCCAGUGCCUUUUCUAACAGACGGAGUGGAACAAGCUGAGUCACCCCACGCCGGGCCCACUUGGGAACGCCAGAGUGGGGGCACUGUUCGGCUGACCCCCAGGUUUGGGUUUGCUGAGCAGGGUGGACAGGCCAACAAAGGGGUCUAUCGAGGUGCUGGGUUGGGGAGAAGCAACGUCCAAGGGGGUUCACUGGAGGGAAACCUGGUGUCCUCUAAUGGGCUUCCUCCCCCUGCUGCACCCGCUGCAGCCACCAUCUUCCCACAGUGUGUUCAAAAUAAAUUCUCACUAAUCCAUAAUGGAACUGGUUCUCUUUGGGGCCACAUCAGAACUGAGAAUAACCUCAAGGCGGAUGCCGCUGAGAGGGACUGCCCGCUGCGGGCGCCACCAUGCACACUGGGAGCCUGCCACAUCCAAGGGACUGGAUAUACUUGUUCCUUCCACACCUGUGCCCAGAUGGCCACCCCCCAGAUGGCUUCACGCCCUCAGCAGCAGCUGGAGAACAACCCGGAGGCUCAGAUAGUAAACUCCUAGAGGCGCAGAUGAUGCUCCUUAGGAAAAUGCAAAAAUGAGGCUCAUGCUUUCAUCCAGGCUGAAGUCCCUCUUGCUUGAGCACCUAAGCCCAUAGGGGCUAUUUCCCCAGGGGGAAACAUGGAUUCUUACCAUGCACAUGGUCGAGGCUCCAUGUUCUACUCCCUUCCUCAUGGAAGAGAUGAUCUGACUUUUAAAAUGAUAGUAUGCAGGCACGGUGCAGUGGCUCACGCUGGUAAUCCCAGCACUUUGGAAGGCCAAGGCAGGAAGGUUGCUUGAUCCCAGGAGUUCAAGACCAGCCUGGGCAACAUGGUGAAACCCACCUCUACUUAAGGCGUGGUGGUGCACACCUGUAUUCCCAGCUACUCGGGAGGCUGAGGCAGAAGGAGCGCUUGAGCCCAGGAGAUCGUGGCUGCAGUGAGCCCUGAUUCUACCACUGUACUCCAGCCUGGGUGACAGAGUGAGAUCCCUUUUAAAAAAAAAAGAAAUAGAGAGAGAGAAA
RNAcentral lists this long non-coding RNA (1854 nucleotides) under Rhinopithecus bieti (black snub-nosed monkey). RNAcentral's name for it is "lncRNA (ENSRBIG00000046651.1)". Lineage: Eukaryota; Metazoa; Chordata; Mammalia; Primates; Cercopithecidae. The record is from RNAcentral.